Terrapene triunguis (Three-toed box turtle) is the source of this 1242-nucleotide long non-coding RNA. RefSeq lists it as uncharacterized. The record is from RefSeq and is a predicted model, not a curated record. The transcript has 6 exons. NCBI's taxonomy places the organism in Eukaryota, Metazoa, Chordata, Testudines, Emydidae.
CUGGAAUCCUGGAUUGUAUUAUUUUCAUCUUUAUUCCCCAAAGCACAGCAGCAAAGAAAAACUUCAAUAAUUAAGGGGAAAACAUACAAUAUGGGAAAUUGGAAAGGGAAGAGAAGAAUCCUCCAUAGCACACCAUAGGCCUGGGUGGCUGCAGACCAUCUAUGCUUUCUCUAGCAUAGUGUAAAUGAGGCAGAACACCUCCAAAGUGAACUAAAUAUAUUUACAAUAAUGUUUGACACAGCAAGUAGAGAGCUGGAAACUUUGCACCAGGCUCUGGAAGCAGCACGAACUGACAACAGUCGCCUCCAUCAGGAAAGUGAGUUAGUGGUUGCAAAUGUUAAUCAGUGGAUCAAAGAACAAAAAAUCUCCAAUCAACGCCAGUGAAAAGGGAAGCAACCCGCCUUGGUGUACUGCAGCAGCUCAGUGAGUCAGCAUUGAGCCUUCCAUUGUCUUUCUGACCACCACCCUGGAAAGACACUGAGUUUGCAAUGAAGACUGAACAGAAUAAGCAUUUUGCAAAGAGUGUUGCUUCAUGGGUCACAGCAGCACAGCCAAAUUUUGGUAAACCUCUGGUGCGAGGCCAGCAAAACAGUGGAUAUCAGUAACAGUACCAGGAAUGACCACGCAUACCAACAAAUAGUGAAGACUCUAUCAGCGUAACAAAUAUACUGGUCUGGUGACCAGUGCAGGGAGCGGAUUAAGCAUCUCACAACUGAGUACAGGAAAAUCAGAGACCAGAACUGUAGCUCAGGCAACUCUCUGAUAUUGUGCCCCAGUACUGCACUGAGAAUGAAGACAAUGGUGGUGUAUGAUGAUGUGUCAAGCCAGGAUGGCAUCCUGCUAGCCCCAGAAUCCAGUCUUGGGGUGAUGGGAGCCAGCAGCAGGUGCACAGUGAGGUCAGCAAAGUGAUUCUGUUGCUGAAAUCAUUCCCACAGGAGCAUCAGCAGCACAUCCUGGGCCAUACUUGGUGGAGCUGUUUGAUACCUGAUGAGGAAUAGCCCACCGUGGAACCUGCAGCAUAUAGGAUAGAAGCCACCCUGGAGCCUGAUCCCUCAGCCUCUACUGACUGCAGUAUCUCCACAGCACACUGCAAUACAAACCUAGACCAAAUAUACCUUCAUGGACCAUUCCAAGAUGGAGCUUUUGCAUGAUGAACUUAUGGUUGAAGAUCUGGACAGGGCCAACAAGCAGUCCAGUAUCAAAAACAGAAGGACUUAUGGCUAGAGAAAAGGCAUGGCAAGA